AUAAGAGGUCCAGCCUGCCCAGUGACACUGUUCAACGGCCGCGGUAUCCUAACCGUGCGAAGGUAGCGUAAUCACUUGUCCUUUAAAUGGGGACUAGUAUGAACGGCACCACGAGGGUUAUACUGUCUCCUUUUUCUAAUCAGUGAACCUAAUCUCCCCGUGAAGAAGCGGGGUUACAACUAUAAGACGAGAAGACCCUAUGGAGCUUUAAACAAAACAACAUUUGCUAAGUCACACACGAAUCUCAGGAGAUUAACUCUUAUUUUAGCCCUAUGAUUGUUAGUUUUAGGUUGGGGUGACCGCGGAGUAAAAAACAACCUCCACAAUGAAUAAGGCCCUCCCUUAAGCAAAAAGCCACAACUUUAUGCAUCAACAAAUUGACAUUAAUUGACCCAAUAUUUUGAUCAACGAAACAAGUUACCCUAGGGAUAACAGCGCAAUCCACUUCAAGAGCCCGUAUCGACAAGUGGGUUUACGACCUCGAUGUUGGAUCAGGG
This 497-nucleotide ribosomal RNA is filed under the name Gastrotheca lateonota (El Tambo marsupial frog). RNAcentral's name for it is "partial 16S ribosomal RNA". It matches the Rfam family "Bacterial large subunit ribosomal RNA", at positions 1845 to 2542 of the family's 2925-position model. Lineage: Eukaryota; Metazoa; Chordata; Amphibia; Anura; Hemiphractidae. The record is from RNAcentral.